CCUUCAUCCAGAGCAGCUGAGGGACUGGCCCGAUGACGCUGCGGCAACCCCCUAUCGGGAAGGUGCCAAUUCCAACGGAACAUUCCGACAGAUGAAAU
Regulatory RNA element from Megasphaera elsdenii, 98 nucleotides. It matches the Rfam family "SAM riboswitch aptamer (S box leader)". From Rfam's summary of the family: The SAM riboswitch is found upstream of a number of genes which code for proteins involved in methionine or cysteine biosynthesis in Gram-positive bacteria. Lineage: Bacteria; Bacillati; Bacillota; Negativicutes; Veillonellales; Veillonellaceae. The record is from Rfam.